Molecule: long non-coding RNA, 2342 nt
Organism: Acanthochromis polyacanthus (spiny chromis)
Lineage: Eukaryota; Metazoa; Chordata; Actinopteri; Pomacentridae
Exons: 4
Source: RefSeq, a predicted model, not a curated record
CCAAAAAGACAAACAACCUACUUGUUGUCAGCAACAGACUUUCUGCCAUGCUAUUUUUGUUUGGCUAUGUACAUCAGAACAGAUCUCUGGAGGCAUCAAAGGCGUUGCAAAUUGAGACCAGACGGGCCAGUGAAACGAAAAGUUCAGACAUAUUGCUCCUUCCUCUUGCCAAUGGACCAUCCCGUUUCCGAUGGACUUAAAAAAAUUCUGGAGGACAUGACAUAUGAUGCUGUUACACGACGGGUGAAAUCCAACCAACUGAUUCUGUCAUUGGGUGAGAGGAUGUUCCUGAAAAAUGGAGAAGUUGGAUGCCAUCGAGCAGAUAUGAGAAAUAAAAUGCGAGAACUUACCAGACUUGUUCUGGUGGCAAGAGAUCUUGACAAAGACACUGUUUUCCUGAAGGACUUGAUUACCCCGGCUAAAUUUAACACUGUGCUUGCGGCAGUGAAAAAGAUGACAGGAUUUGACCACCUAACAAACAGAUUUGCAGUUCCCUCAACUGCACUAAAACUACGCCAUUCCCCGAUGAAGGUCUGAUAUAUUUUGUAGGGAGAGGCUCUGCGACUAGAGGAUGACAUCUUAAAGGCACAAGCAGAACAUUUCAGCAAAUUAAUUCAACUGGAAUGGACAACCCACGUGCCAUCAAAUGCAUUAAAAACGUUGUACCAGAGGAAAUGGAACAAGCCACAAGUACUGCCUCUUGCCAAGGACAUAAAGAAGCUCCAGGACCACUUGAAAACUGCUGUGGAGGUCAGCAGAAAGUCCCUCCUGGAGUGUCCAUCAUCAAACGCAUGGAAUAAUCUUUCUCAAGCAACUUUGACACAGCUGACCCUCUUCAACUGGCAUCGUGAAGGAGAGGUUUCCAGGAUGGAGGUCGAAACAUACCGACACAGAAACAAACACAUUAUGCAAGAUGAAAUUCUGCAGAGCCUCACAGCCUUUGAAAAAAAAUUGUGUGAAAACCUCACCAGGAUAGAAGUGCGUGGGAAAAGAGGACGCAAAGUACCAAUACUCCUUUCAACAGAUGCAAAAGAAUCCAUAGAUCUUCUGAUCAACACUAGAGACAAUGUUGGGGUUUCUCCAAGCAACCCCUACAUUUUUGCUUGUCCUGUCAAAGAGUCUGUGGAGCCUAUUCGUGGAUGUGACACUUUAAGGCGAUAUGCACAAAGCUGUGGGGCUAAGCAUCCAGAAAACAUCCCCUCCACUACACUAAGAAAGCAUGUGGCUACAGUUUCACAGCUUUUAAACUUAGAAGAUAAUGAACUGGACCAGCUGGCAACAUUCAAGGGACACAACAUUAAUGUGCAUAGGAAGUUUUACAAAAUGCCUGAAGCAACUCUGCAAGUGACAAAAGCAGAAUUCUGUUUGCCAUCCAAAAUGGAAUGGGCAAAUUCAAAGGAUAAUCCCUGGAGGACAUUAUCCCAAACAUUGACUAUGGCUCCAGUGACUCAGAAACAGAAAAUUUUCACUCUAAAGACCAGUCUGCCCCUACAGAUGAGGAUGUGGUUUCAGGAAACUUGGAUGCGGAGGAUUCAGAAGAAAGGGCUACUCUUUCAAGAAGGACUGACCUCUCGGAAAAGCCUGUUGAAGACACAGAGAAAUUGCCAUACGAUCCAAAAAUUAUUUAGAGGGAAACCCUAAAGGCCCUGGUCCCAAAGAGAGAGGGAUAUCAUUGAACAGCAUUUUAAGAGAUUCCUGAAGGAAAUGAAGAUCCCUAGCAAACUAGACUGUGAGAAAUGCUUACAUGAAAACAAUAUUCUAAAGGAUAAUGACAGAGACUGGAAAGCUGUGAAAUAUUUUGUUCACAACUGAAUCACUUCUAUGAAAAAAAAACAUUUGAGUCAGGGGUAUUGAGACAAUAAAUACUGAGAGCUCGCAUUGUGGAUGAUCAAUGUUCAAUGUCAUUCUGGGAGCUCGCAUAUGGAGUAUCAAUGUAGAGUGUUAAUACUGAGAGUCCAGUAAAAUGGAGCUUUCAGUGUUAGACUCAUAACAUUGGUAGUCCAUGUAAAUGGAGCAUCAGUGUCAUUGUUUUAAUUACCGCUAACUCUUCAUUGUUUGUAUUGUGCCUUGCUCGUCAUUGUAUUAUGUCUUGCUUUUCAUUGUUUUAUUGCCUGUUGCAAUUUUUUAUUAUGCUCUUCUUGAUUAUUAUUUAAUUUUUAUUGUUAAUAACGACCUCUUGCUUUAUAAAAAAUAUUUUCAUUGUCUGUAGCUCUUUUCAUGGUUUUUAAAUGUGUCUCCCUAUUUAUCUAUCUAUCACUUUUAAUAUUUCUAUAAUUUGUGUGUUAUCGUUGUGGUCACUCAUCACUGAGGGUGGAAAGUCUGCACUACCGCGGGGGCGGGGG